Molecule: ribosomal RNA, 483 nt
Filed under: uncultured bacterium
Lineage: Bacteria
Description: partial 16S ribosomal RNA
Rfam family: Bacterial small subunit ribosomal RNA
Source: RNAcentral
AUUGAAAGCUGGCGGCAGGCCUAACACAUGCAAGUCGAGCGGAUGAAGGGAGCUUGCUCCUGGAUUCAGCGGCGGACGGGUGAGUAAUGCCUAGGAAUCUGCCUGGUAGUGGGGGAUAACGUCCGGAAACGGGCGCUAAUACCGCAUACGUCCUGAGGGAGAAAGUGGGGGAUCUUCGGACCUCACGCUAUCAGAUGAGCCUAGGUCGGAUUAGCUAGUUGGUGGGGUAAAGGCCUACCAAGGCGACGAUCCGUAACUGGUCUGAGAGGAUGAUCAGUCACACUGGAACUGAGACACGGUCCAGACUCCUACGGGAGGCAGCAGUGGGGAAUAUUGGACAAUGGGCGAAAGCCUGAUCCAGCCAUGCCGCGUGUGUGAAGAAGGUCUUCGGAUUGUAAAGCACUUUAAGUUGGGAGGAAGGGCAGUAAGUUAAUACCUUGCUGUUUUGACGUUACCAACAGAAUAAGCACCGGCUAACUUCGU